AUACAGCUGACGAGUCCCAAAAAGGAUUAAAUGCGCGUCCUGGAU
Molecule: non-coding RNA, 45 nt
Filed under: Schistosoma mansoni
Lineage: Eukaryota; Metazoa; Platyhelminthes; Trematoda; Strigeidida; Schistosomatidae
Source: RNAcentral